CCUACGGGUGACAGCAGUGGGGAAUAUUGCACAAUGGGGGAAACCCUGAUGCAGCGACGCCGCGUGAGUGAAGAAGUAUUUCGUUAUGUAAAGCUCUAUCAGCAGGGAAGAAAAUGACGGUACCUGACCAAGAAGCCCCGGCUAACUACGUGCCAGCAGCCGCGGUAAUACGUAGGGGGCAAGCGUUAUCCGGAUUUACUGGGUGGAAAGGGAGCGUAGACGGUUGCGCAAGUCUGGAGUGAAAGGCGGGGGCCCAACCCCCGGACUGCUCUGGAAACUGUGUAACUGGAGUGCAGGAGAGGUAAGUGGAAUUCCUAGUGUAGCGGUGAAAUGCGUAGAUAUUAGGAGGAACACCAGUGGCGAAGGCGGCUUACUGGACUGUAACUGACGUUGAGGCUCGAAAGCGUGGGGAGCAAACAGGAUUAGAUACCCCGGUAGUC
Molecule: ribosomal RNA, 440 nt
Filed under: uncultured bacterium
Lineage: Bacteria
Description: partial 16S ribosomal RNA
Rfam family: Bacterial small subunit ribosomal RNA
Source: RNAcentral